UAUGCGCGGUAGAGGAGCGUUCCGUAAGCCGUUGAAGGUGGAUUGAGAAGUCUGCUGGAGGUAUCGGAAGUGCGAAUGCUGACAUGAGUAACGAUAAUGCGGGUGAAAAACCCGCACGCCGAAAGCCCAAGGUUUCCUUGCGCAACGUUAAUCGGCGCAGGGUGAGUCGGCCCCUAAGGCGAGGACGAAAGUCGUAGUCGAUGGGAAGCAGGUUAAUAUUCCUGCACCUCGCGUAAGUGCGAUGGAGGGACGGAGAAGGUUAGGUGUACCAGGCGUUGGUUGUCCUGGGGAAAGGCGGUAGGUUUGGAUCUUUGGCAAAUCCGGGAUCCUCUAAGACCGAGCACCGAGACGAGCCUUUAAGGCGAAGUCACUGAUACCACGCUUCCAGGAAAAGCUCCUAAGCUUCAGCUUACGCAGACCGUACCGUAAACCGACACAGGUGGGUAGGAUGAGAAUUCUCAGGCGCUUGAGAGAACUCGGGUGAAGGAACUAGGCAACAUGGCACCGUAACUUCGGGAGAAGGUGCACCCUUUUUGGUGGCUCGUGCGAGCUAUAGCUGAAGAGGGUCGCAGUAACCAGGCCGCUGCGACUGUUUAUCAAAAACACAGCACUCUGCAAACACGAAAGUGGACGUAUAGGGUGUGACGCCUGCCCGGUGCUGGAAGGUUAAUUGAUGGGGUCAGCCGCAAGGCGAAGCUCUUGAUCGAAGCCCCAGUAAACGGCGGCCGUAACUAUAACGGUCCUAAGGUAGCGAAAUUCCUUGUCGGGUAAGUUCCGACCUGCACGAAUGGCGUAACGACAGCGGCGCUGUCUCCACCCGAGACUCAGUGAAAUUGAAAUCGCUGUGAAGAUGCAGCGUUCCCGUGGCAAGACGGAAAGACCCCGUGAACCUUUACUAUAGCUUUACACUGAACGUUGAGUUCGUCUGUGUAGGAUAGGUGGGAGGCUAUGAAACUGUGGCGCUAGCUGCAGCGGAGCCAUCCUUGAAAUACCACCCUGUCGUGCUUGACGUUCUAACCUGGGCCCAUUAUCUGGGUCGGGGACCGUGUAUGGUGGGUAGUUUGACUGGGGCGGUCUCCUCCUAAAGAGUAACGGAGGAGCUCGAAGGUACGCUCAGCGCGGUCGGACAUCGCGCACUGUGUGCAAAGGCAUAAGCGUGCUUGACUGCAAGAUCGACGGAUCAAGCAGGUAGGAAACUAGGACUUAGUGAUCCGGUGGUUCUGUAUGGAAGGGCCAUCGCUCAACGGAUAAAAGGUACUCCGGGGAUAACAGGCUGAUACCGCCCAAGAGUUCAUAUCGACGGCGG
RNAcentral lists this ribosomal RNA (1306 nucleotides) under soil metagenome. Its description in RNAcentral is "bacterial LSU rRNA". It matches the Rfam family "Bacterial large subunit ribosomal RNA", at positions 1220 to 2514 of the family's 2925-position model. The record is from RNAcentral.